GAUGAACGCCGGCGGCGUGCUUAACACAUGCAAGUCGAACGGUGAAGGCGGAGCUUGCUCUGCUGGAUCAGUGGCGAACGGGUGAGUAACACGUGAGCAAUCUGCCCCUGACUCUGGGAUAAGCGCUGGAAACGGCGUCUAAUACUGGAUACGAGCUGCGAAGGCAUCUUCAGCAGCUGGAAAGAAUUUCGGUCAGGGAUGAGCUCGCGGCCUAUCAGCUUGUUGGUGAGGUAAUGGCUCACCAAGGCGUCGACGGGUAGCCGGCCUGAGAGGGUUACCGGCCACAAUGGGACUGAGACACGGCCCAGACGCCUACGGGAGGCAGCAGUGGGGAAUAUGGCACAAUGGGCGAGAGCCUGAUGCAGCAACGCCGCGUGAGGGACGACGGCCUUCGGGUGGUAAACCUCUGUGAGCAGGGAAGAAGCGAAAGUGACGGUACCUGCAGAAAAAGCGCCGGCUAACUACGUG
RNAcentral lists this ribosomal RNA (468 nucleotides) under uncultured bacterium. RNAcentral's name for it is "partial 16S ribosomal RNA". It matches the Rfam family "Bacterial small subunit ribosomal RNA", at positions 28 to 507 of the family's 1533-position model. The record is from RNAcentral.